UACGUAGGGUGCAAGCGUUGUCCGGAAUUAUUGGGCGUAAAGAGCGUGUAGGCGGCCAGAUAAGUCCGCUGUGAAAUCUCGAGGCUCAACUUCGAGCUGUCGGUGGAAACUGUCUGGCUAGAGUCCGGAAGAGGAGAAUGGAAUUCCUGGUGUAGCGGUGAAAUUCGUAGAUAUCAAGCAGAACACCUGCGGCGAAGGCGGCCUUCUGGACGAUGACUGACGCUGAGACACGAAAGCGUGGGGAGCAAACAGG
Molecule: ribosomal RNA, 253 nt
Filed under: uncultured bacterium
Lineage: Bacteria
Description: partial 16S ribosomal RNA
Rfam family: Bacterial small subunit ribosomal RNA
Source: RNAcentral